Molecule: long non-coding RNA, 522 nt
Filed under: Cavia porcellus (domestic guinea pig)
Lineage: Eukaryota; Metazoa; Chordata; Mammalia; Rodentia; Caviidae
Description: lncRNA (ENSCPOG00000033632.1)
Source: RNAcentral
AUACAGUUCAAUUCUUGUACAGGUUUGCUGCUGAGCAGAAAGAAAAAAAGCACAUGAUGGACAAGGUUCUAGAAGCAGAGGAGCAUAAAGAUGAAGGGUGUGGUCCUAGCACAGAUGUCAUGGCAAAAGUUAACCACAUCUCCAAGCGUCAAGGGAACCCUAGUGCAUAGAAAAGUCAUAGCAGAGAAUGAUGAGGACAGCAUGUUUCAGAGGAGACACAGAGUAAGGGAAGAGCUGCUACAAAGGGCAGAGCCUGAGAGACUCUUCGGAACUGGCCAACUAUUCUGACUUCUUCAGCAUUCAACAUCCAUGAAAGCAGGACAUGUUAAAGGUCCAGCCUUAGUCCUUCCUGUAAAUUUACAAAUAAAUCCAGUGAGCCACAACUAGAUCUGUUUACUAUGGCAAUGAUAAUAUGCCCACAUUUCUAUGAAAACCCACAUGGAUAAUAUUUACCAGGUCAUAUGAGUUUAGGAAAAAAAAAAAACAUACAUAGCUUUUUGUGCCUCAGGUCCCUAAUUUGUG